AAUCAUCGACGGGCGCACUCCUCCUCCCGAGCGCCCACGAUGGGACCAGCAACACCUCCUCCUCCCGGUUGUUGGUCAGUUUCAGAAGCCCGGCGCACCUCCUCCCGCGCCGGGCUUUCUGC
RNAcentral lists this small RNA (122 nucleotides) under Rhizobium sp. YS-1r. Its description in RNAcentral is "Alphaproteobacterial ar14". It matches the Rfam family "Alphaproteobacterial ar14". From Rfam's summary of the family: Smr14C2 was renamed NfeR1 (Nodule Formation Efficiency RNA) highly expressed in salt stress and during the symbiotic interaction on legume roots. Lineage: Bacteria; Pseudomonadati; Pseudomonadota; Alphaproteobacteria; Hyphomicrobiales; Rhizobiaceae. The record is from Rfam by way of RNAcentral.